RNAcentral lists this Y RNA (113 nucleotides) under Cebus imitator (Panamanian white-faced capuchin). RNAcentral describes it as "Y RNA (ENSCCAG00000004827.1)". It matches the Rfam family "Y RNA". Rfam says of the family: Y RNAs are components of the Ro ribonucleoprotein particle (Ro RNP), in association with Ro60 and La proteins. The Y RNAs and Ro60 and La proteins are well conserved, but the function of the Ro RNP is not known. Lineage: Eukaryota; Metazoa; Chordata; Mammalia; Primates; Cebidae. The record is from RNAcentral.
GGCUGGUCUGAAGGCAGCAGGUUACCUCAAUUGAUUGUUCACAGUCAGUUAUAGAGCAAACUGUUUGCUCUACUCUUUCACCCCUUCUUACUACUGCAUGUGACUAGUGGAUA